This 451-nucleotide ribosomal RNA is filed under the name uncultured bacterium. RNAcentral describes it as "bacterial SSU rRNA". It matches the Rfam family "Bacterial small subunit ribosomal RNA", at positions 354 to 796 of the family's 1533-position model. The record is from RNAcentral.
GUCGAGAGGCUUCGGCAAUGGGGGCAACCCUGACCGAGCGACGCCGCGUGGAGGAUGAAGGCCCUUGGGUUGUAAACUCCUUUUGCUAGGGAAGAAAUGUGAUCAGGUGAACAAUCUGGUCAUUUGACGGUACCUGGCGAAUAAGCUCCGGCUAACUCCGUGCCAGCAGCCGCGGUAACACGGGGGGAGCAAGCGUUGUUCGGAAUCACUGGGCGUAAAGGGCGUGUAGGCGGUCAAGUAAGUGGAACGUGAAAUCCCUCGGCUCACCCGAGGACCUGCGUCCCAAACUGCUUGGCUUGAGUAUGGGAGAGGAUGAGGGAAUUCCUGGUGUAGCGGUGAAAUGCGUAGAUAUCAGGAGGAACACCGGUGGCGAAGGCGCUCAUCUGGCCCAAUACUGACGCUGAGGCGCGAAAGCUAGGGGAGCAAACGGGAUUAGAAACCCGAGUAGUCC